This 23-nucleotide microRNA is filed under the name Danio rerio (zebrafish). RNAcentral describes it as "dre-miR-7149-3p". The record is from miRBase by way of RNAcentral. Lineage: Eukaryota; Metazoa; Chordata; Actinopteri; Cypriniformes; Danionidae.
UUCCAAGUGUUAUGAGUCAAAGU